Mercenaria mercenaria is the source of this 1284-nucleotide long non-coding RNA. RefSeq lists it as uncharacterized. NCBI's taxonomy places the organism in Eukaryota, Metazoa, Mollusca, Bivalvia, Venerida, Veneridae. The record is from RefSeq and is a predicted model, not a curated record. The transcript has 3 exons.
UUGGAACGGUGGUCAUGCUAAUUUUCAUCUCUAUGACAAUUGUUGUUUUGCUGAACAUCCUCAUUGCUCAGCUUAGCGAUACGUACCAGAAAAUUCAGGCUGACGCUGAGAAGUCUGUAUUAGUAAACAGGGCUUGGACUAUCGCACGUUUGGAGAGAAAUACCUUAUGUUACCCACCCAAGUGUCAAUGUGGUCUAUGUUGUCUUAACGAGUGUCUGAAAAGGAUUUUGCCGUCGUGUCUUGAAACUUGUCUUCAAGAAGAGGGGCAAAAAAAAUGCGAACAGUUUUUACCAAAUGCAGACUUGAAGCCACUACAGUUUAAUGAAACAGAAGAAAUCAGACGUUCGUUAGCGAGAAUAGAAAAUAAACAAGUUAAGACUGAUCUUAAAGUGCAGACACUUAAUUCAAGAGUUCGAAAGAUGCUGGAAUCAUCACAAGAGAAAUCCACUGCAUGAAUAAGGAAUAUGAACAUAAAUCUUAAGCCCUGGACGUUGCUCAUCAUAGUGAACCGGAUGUUGGCCAAGAUAACAUGAUAACCUUGAGUUAUAUUACAGAAGCUGUUGCUAGUAUGUUUCCUUAAAUUUAAUACUUUAGAGGAUACGGGAAAGAGAUAGCAAAUCCGGUUACUGAACACUGUGACGGACACGGAAUUCAAAUAAUGUGUAAAUUCGUAUGCUGCUAUAACAAAAUAUUUCUAAAACGAAAAACAGUCAUUUAACUUUAUUUUUCUAGCUGAAGUGCAGAUAGAAAUAUCUGACUCUAGGGUAACUUUGCGGUAACUCGACAGAGCCUCGUUAUCACCUACACAGUAACCAUCCGCAUCUUUAACCAGUGAAAGAUUCUUAUGUUAGAAAUCUGCUUUAAAUCGCCAAAACGUUUACAUAACCGUUCCUGAAAAGCUUGUGUGUAAGUUGCCUCCAUAUCUCAGUGGUUUGAUCUUCGGAGUUGAACAACGUUUAUCUUCUCUCGUCGCGAAUUCAAGCCCAGUCGGAUUCACUAUUUUUAAUUUACCUGUUUUUUUUUUCAGUUUUGGUUUCUGAUCACUUUUAACACAUUUCUUCUUAUUACUUGUUUCUUACACAAAUGUGUAUUUUGUGUAUAAUUUGAUAAGAAUAAGAAACAUUGUCAUCCAGUAUGUACCAUGACGGAAAUUCUGACAAUGACCGAUUUAUACAAAUCUAAAUGAUGUACUUUUCAUUUUUUAUAUGCUUUUACAUAAAUGGGUUGCAGAUAGUCUAUACAAUGUAUAAUAUUUGUUUUCUAAUCUACUUGAUUUAUUAAACC